RNAcentral lists this ribosomal RNA (452 nucleotides) under uncultured bacterium. Its description in RNAcentral is "bacterial SSU rRNA". It matches the Rfam family "Bacterial small subunit ribosomal RNA", at positions 149 to 595 of the family's 1533-position model. The record is from RNAcentral.
GCUCGAAAGAGCAGCUAAUACCGCAUACGACCUGAGGGUGAAAGGGGGGGAUCGCAAGACCUCUCGCUAUUGGAGCGGCCGAUAUCAGAUUAGCUAGUUGGUGGGGUAAAGGCCUACCAAGGCAACGAUCUGUAGUUGGUCUGAGAGGACGACCAGCCACACUGGGACUGAGACACGGCCCAGACUCCUACGGGAGGCAGCAGUGGGGAAUUUUGGACAAUGGGCGCAAGCCUGAUCCAGCAAUGCCGCGUGCAGGAAGAAGGCCUUCGGGUUGUAAACUGCUUUUGUCAGGGAAGAAAUCCUCUAGGUUAAUACCCUUGGGGGGAUGACGGUACCUGAAGAAUAAGCACCGGCUAACUACGUGCCAGCAGCCGCGGUAAUACGUAGGGUGCAAGCGUUAAUCGGAAUUACUGGGCGUAAAGCGUGCGCAGGCGGCUUUGCAAGACAGAUGU